Molecule: long non-coding RNA, 1974 nt
Filed under: Carica papaya (papaya)
Lineage: Eukaryota; Viridiplantae; Streptophyta; Magnoliopsida; Brassicales; Caricaceae
Description: long non-coding RNA (CPAP_LNC014430)
Source: RNAcentral
AAGGCGUUAAAGGAUUUUGGAGGAAAGGGGGUACCCCUUGGGUUAAGCAUGUCAUUGGUCAAGGGCACAAACUUUAGAUAUCGUUUGGAAGUAACAGGAGAACCUUAUAUCUUAUGUUAUCUAUGCUGUGGGGCAGGAAUGCGAAGAGGACCUUCAUCCCAGAGGGAGAAUAGGAGAGGGGGUGAUGAUUAUUCAUGAUUGCGGCAUUCAAAUUUGCGAAACAGCCAGUUGUAAACCCUGAUGGUAGAGCAUAGACAAAGAGGGUUGCUGGACAAGAGGGAAGAUCAGGACAGCCUUCUAACAAGAAAGCCUUAUAUUUUAUGUUAUCCGCACUGUGGGGCAGGAAUGCGAAGAGGAUCUUAAUCUCAAAGGGAGGACAGGAGAGGGGCUAAUGGUUAUUCAUGAUUGUGGCAUUCGACUUUGCAAAACGGCUGGUUGUAAACCCUAAUGGUAGAGCGAAGACGAAGAGGGUUAUCUGUGCUAUGGGGGGCUAGUGGUUAUUCACGUUUGGAAGUAACAGGAGAGCCUUAUAUCUUAUGUUAUCCGUGUUGUGGGGUAAGAAUGCGAAGAGGAUCUUCAUCUCGGAGGGAGAUAAGGAGAGCGGCUGGUGGUUAUUCACGAUUGCGGCAUUCAAAUUUGCGAAACGGUCAGUUGUAAACCCUAAUGGUAGAGCAAAGACAUAGAGGGUUUCUAGAAAAGAGGGAAGAUCAGGACAGACAACUCUGUAGAAAGCGGCCUUUAAAUGUCCACAUUGUGUGGUGCCCAUUCGUUUUUCGAUGGAAGUUGGAGUACCAAACUCCUACCCGACGGCACUUCAAUCGGGAGGAGAGUAGGCGUUAUGGGUAGGGCAAACGCGACCCAAGAGGGAGUGGGGUCGGAUUGCACCAAAAAGCCAAACAAAGAGGAAGGUCUGAAAUGCAAAGGGAGUAAGUCGUUUUGAUCCUUGAGGCUCUUUCAGGCUGAGACGAGCAGGCCCAGGGCAUAAAGUUAGUUUUGGGCCCAAUGGGAGAAGGAGAUUCACCCAAGUAGAGAACAAGAAGUGGAUCGCAGAGCCUAGCGUGAGAGAGUUGAAGCCCAGUAAUAGCAGGCGUAAAUUAAGAGGCUGGUGGAGACCCAUGGAUAGUAUCCAUACCCGUGGGGAGUCAUCGGGUCAUAAGGACCCAAUGUGCAAAAUUUCCCAAAUCGAAGACAGAGACGCGGGUGAGAAGGUGAAGGAGAAGGAAGUGGAUUUGAUGGUGAAGGUGUGUGACGAGAAGGCCGUCGAAAUUAGAUGAAGCCCCUUGUCCCAUUGAAACUGAGCGAGAAGAGAAGGAGGAAGAUAGUUGCGGUGUCGAGUUCACAAGGGCCAACGACAGUAAUGGCGGUGAGUUGGCAAUGGUCCUAAUGGAGAAGGCAUAGGUGAUUUUUGUGGAGCCAAAUCUGGACAUUGAAGAGAUUCUAACUAUGAGCUUGGAUGCCAUUGACCUGGUGGACAAGGAAGGUGAAGGGAGCUCUCUAUGGAUAUUACAGAAUGUCCAGAGGUUCAACAGAAUGAUGGGGGUCUCUCUUGAAUGUAUGGAAGAACGGGUAUUUACUUUUUUCUCGAAAAUUGAAAGGAGAGCGAUUAAACAGAAGCCGAGAGUGGUAGUGACUAAGGGGAAAAAAAGAAAGGUGUGGGUACUCCGAGAGAGCUAAAGAGACUAGAGUACUCUGUAAACUAUGAUGGCUAGAUGAAGGAGGGGAAGGAGGGAGGAUUUAGAAUCUUAUUUUAAUGAUUGGUAAAAUAGUGUCAUGAAAUAUAAGAAGAAUUAAUGAUAAGUGUAAACGCCUUGUUCUUUGGGGGUGUUUAUCUAAAUGGAAGCUGGAUGUUGUAUGCCUUCAGGAAUCUAAAAUAAAGGAUUAUACUGAUGAUGUUUUGAAAAGUCAGUGGAGAGAAAUGGACGUGGGGUGGUAGGGUAUCCCGACUAGGGAGUCGGAUGGGAGAAUUUUAGUUAU